GCACAAAUUAAUCUUCAGAUAGGGGCAUGUCUUACAAGAAUUUACAUGCUAGCACUUUAAUUGUCAGAAGAUAGUUUCUAUUAGGCAGAUGGACUGUGAAUGAGUAACAGCAUAUCCCAUUAGUGGAAGGAAAAAAGAGAAAUGAAGGUCUUUUUGGUGACCGGAGAGCAGAGCUCAGGAGAUGGAGUUGAGCUGAAGCAUGGAUUCCCACUCUGAGCUGGGGCAAUUUGCAUCGUGGUGGGGCCCUAACCUCUGCUUGGACUUCCAGGUGCAAUGUCAUGAUAAUCAUCCUCUCCUAAGAACACAUGCUGGGUAUCAGCACAUAGGGGAGGACAGGAAUGAGGAAAGGAUGAGGGCAGCGUGUCAGAUGAUGCCUCCACUUCACGGUGGUAUGAAGGACCAUGGGUAAAUUCUUCACGCUGAUGGUUGCAUGACUUUCAGACCCCAUGAGCUGGAUGUAGCUGUCUUGGACUGAUAAGAUCCUUCCCCCUCAAAACACAGCCUUCAGGAGCAUCAGGAGCUCUGCUUACCGCUUGCUGCUUUGCUCCCGCCUUGCAAAAGGAAUAAAAUAAUGGUGAUCUUGUUAAGAGAAAUGCAUUUGUCAGCACUCUGAAUUUUAAUAUGAACUGACAGUGGAUCUCAGUGAUAAAGACGAAGCCUAAUGCGGAUGGUAAUUUUUCAGGGACCUUGCUAACAUAUGUUAUCCACCGGCUUUCUUUUGUUCACUGCUGUGAAUUAUCAACUGACUCAAGGCAAUAGAGGGAAAAAAGUUACAUUUCUCACUGUGUCACUUUCCUAACAUCAUCCAAAGCUCACUGUAAUAAUUUAAUUUUGCAGAGAAAGCACAGUUUAUUACAUUUCUCCUCCCACUCAACCCCAGCAUUCUGUAGACAGGUAUUGAAGGUGAUUGACUAAAAGUUGUGAUUGGUAGUUAGCAACAAGGUCUCACAAAAUUCUCAAGAAAUUCAUUUCUCUCAGGGAAAAAAAAAAAAAACCAAAAACAAAACAAAACAAACAAACAAACAAAAACAUUUACUAGACCUCCAGAAAGGAAGUUUGAUCCAAUGCAUGAUCAGAACCAAUCUUUAACAAGGAAAAUUCAAUAAGACUUGUAGAAAGAUUAUGAUUAAACAACCUCAGGAAAAUUUUCCUGUCCAGCUUUAGUAGAAAGCAAUUUUUUGUGCAAAGCAUUUCUGCUGAAAAUAGGGGUUAUAUAGAACAUGAAUAAACAUCACUCUGAUAUUUGUUACUUUUUCAGGCAAAAGUGAAACUUUGGUGUUUAUUUCAGAAGUUAUUUUGCUAAAAGCAGUCAUUAAAGAAUUGCAACAAAUGCACUUGAAGCUGUGUAUUUAUACUGUUUAAACAGUGAAACUUCUGAGGUCGGUUGAACCAAGCAAAGUUAUAGAAUAUGUAUAGAAUAGCUAUAGAAUAGCUGCAGUUUCUUCCUCGAUUCUUUCUGAAUGUCCAAUAUUUAUGUUAAAAUCAUGUCUGUCAAUAAUCCUGAGCCAUUUUCCUGUAGCUCACUUCAGUUUUCUACGUAGAGAGGAAUUCCACAAUAAAAGGAAUUUCCUUGAUGAUCUGUAAAGGCACAAUCUUUCACCACUACAGUCUCAAAAGUUACCUCACCAAAGCUGUUGGUGCUAGCCAUAUUUUAUACCAUUCAGCAGAAUAUGAUGUAUUGAGUCAACGUCUCUAAUCUGGAAACCCCCACUAUUCACACCAAAUUUAAUCACCUCUUCUGAAAAAUGUGGAAAAUAACCUUUAAAGUAGUCAUUAAGAGUAUUGCUUGGAGUGUCAUAUAAAUAUCUUAUUUACAGAAGUCUUGAAUGCCAUAUAUUCAGAGGGAGAUGUGCCAAAAACUGCUAAUUACACUGUUACUUAAUGCCAAACAGGUAAUUGCAUUCAGCCCACUUAAAUGCUUGCUGCAAUCUGGGUUGCUUCAGCAGCUGAGGAAGGAUUACAGAAGCACAGAGUUGUAAGGGUUGAAAAGGACCUCUGGAGAUCAUCAUCUAGUCCAACCCCCCUGCUAAAGCAGGUUCCCUAGAGUAGUUUGCACAGGAGAGUCCAGGAGGGUUCUGAGUAUCUCUAGAGAAAGAGACUCCACAACCUCUCGGGGCAGCCUGUUCCAGUGCUCUGUCACCCUCUAAGUCAAGAAGCUUUUCCUCAUGUUUGUAUGGAACUUCCUAUGUUCCAGUUUAUGCCCAUUGUCCCUUUUUCUGUUGCUGGAUACUGUUAAAAACAGUCUGGUAGCAUCCUCUUGACAUCCACCCUUCAGAUUUUUGUAAGCAUUGAGAAGAUCCUCUCAGCCUUCUCUUAUACAGGCUGAAUGGUCCCAGGUCUUUCAGCUUUUCCUCAUUAAAGAGAUGUUCCAGGCCUCUCAUCAUCUUCCUAAUCCUCUGCUGGAGUCUCCAGCAGUUCCUGGUCUCUCUUGAACUGAGGAACCCAGAACUGGACACAAUACUCCAGAGGUAGCCUUGCUAGGGCAGGGUGGAGGGAAACGAUCACCUCCCUCGACCUGCUGGCUGUGCUCUUUACAAUGCUCCCCAGGAUACAGUUGGCCUUCAGGGGCACUCUGCUGAAUCAUGGUCAACUUGUUGGCCAACAGGCACUCUCUGCAGAGCUCCUUUCCAGCACGUCAGCCGCUAGCCUGUACUGAUGCAUGAAGUUAUUCCUCCACGGGUGUAGGACUCUACACUUGGCCUUGUUGAACCUCCUAAGAUUCCUCUUCUCCAAACUCUCCAGCCUCUCCAGGUCUUUCUGAGUGGCAGCACAGCCUUCUGGUGCAUCAGCCACUCCUCCCAGCUUCAUAUUAUCAGCAAACUUGCUGAGGGUGCAUUCUAUCCCUUCAUCCAGAUCAUCAGUGAAGAUGUUGAAAAAGGCCACUACCUCACCAUGCAUGUCAGUGCCCUUUCCCUGAGGGCACCAUGUACUUAACCAAACUUCUGAACAUGGAUCCAGACCUCACUGCUCAUUGCUUUCUCCUUGCAUUUAUCCCUUCUCCAUUCAGAUAACCAGGAACUUUUUUCCCAACUCAGAGACACUUGCAAAAACUCUUUUUCUCCCUUAAAAUCUUCUAAUUUCUUUACAUACUUUCUGCCCUUUUUACAGCUCCCCUCUGGGUUAUCUUCUGAUUCCUGGGACAGAGGUGACCAUCACUUGCUGAACUUGGCCCAUUCUCCCCAGCUGAUGAAUUCUUGUUAGGUUAGCUCAGUUAAAUAUUUUUUCUGCACUCCCAUUUUGAAUUAUUUGCUUUACUUAGAUAUAUGUUGGUUCAGCAAUGGAAUUAAUACUCACAUUCCUUUUUAUGCCUCAAAUCAAUUUCUGGUCAAAAGGCCAACCCAGAGGCAAGGUAUACACAGACAUGUAAAUAUACAUAUAUUUGGAACCUUUCUGGAGAGUUGCCCAAGAUUUGUGCCAACUGAUAGCUAGGGGGAAGCACAUCAAUACAAUGCGCAGGACUGAUUUGCAAAUCUAAUCCUAAUUAUUUUGCAGGCAGCCAAACCACCAGGUAUGGUGGUCCCAAGCACUGUGCAGAGCUUGUAUGCAAAAAAUAUGAAACAUACCAAACAAACAGUGGUUAAAUUUGUCAUCACAUUAAUGCAGCCAGGAGGUAAUCGGAGACAAUUUAACAGAUGUUUCAAUGCUUAAGCCAGAACAAACAGAACAGAUUAAUUUCUCCACUUUCCCUUCAGAAGCAAGUGCCAGAAAGUUCUGAAAUUUCACUGUGUAGCACAUGAAUAAAAAAAUAAUAAUUUUUUGAUCAUCAACAUAGGCAAUGUUUGCAGCCAGGCAAUCCCCAGAACCAGAAGCCAGGCUAUGAGUCCAGGCUGCUGUAUGGGAAUAGUGAGGGUGCAGUGUCAUCUGUUGAUGCCUGAUGACUCCUCUUUGAGGACAAGAAAUUUUGAAAUAUUGCACACUAUUAACUAGAAAUCCCAGAGCAGAUUACCUCUGAGUAUGAACAAGAAUCAUAGAGUCAUAGAAUAGUUCGAGUUGAAAGAGACCCUUAAAAGCCAUCUAGAUCAGCUCCUUUGCAAUGAACAGGGACAUCUACAGCUAGAUCAGGUUGCUCAGCCUCAUUCAGCCUGACCUUGGGUGUGUCCAAAGACAGGGCACCCAGACCCUCUCUGGGCAACCUAUGCCAUUGACUCUGAGUAAAAAACUUCUUCCUUUUAUCCAGUCUAAAUUGCCCCUUUUUUUUAGCUUGAAACCAUUUCCCUUUGUUUUAUCACAACAGGCCCUGCUAAAGGAUCUGUCCCCUUCUUUCUUGUAGCCCCUUUUUAGAUACACAAUAUUCCAUCCCAGUGUCAAAAUCACUACUUUUCUGAACUUCAGGACAGGUGGAACAUCAUGUCUCUUUUCUACUUUUUUUUUUUCCCUCAAUUUUUUCCCCUACACCAUAUGAUUUUGCCAGAAAUGGAUGAAACACAUGCUUACUCACUGUCUAUGCCAUCCCCCUGAUUGCAGAGGGGUGUCCCAGGGCACACGUCAAUGAGGAAUACAGCCCAGAGAUCACAAGCUACCUCUCAGAUUGCAAGACUCCCACACUUAAUUCACUGCUCUAAUUAUACCAUCAGCUGUCAUUACUCCUGUUAUUAGGAUCUGUCAUCCCAACCUAGUAAGGAGGACUGGGGGUGAGCAAGUGCCUUGGGUAUUAUGCAGGAAUCAAGGGCUUCAGCAACCAGGGUUCCUGUACCUGAGACUGCAAAAUUAAGCUGUUUUGAAGCAGUUGGUGUAGAAACUUCAGAUGCGAGGUGGUUUUUACACAGCUGCUUCCUCCCUCCAUGCAUGUGUCUAAGGGGUUGUUUUUUUCUGAUAUUUCCUAAUAUGUGUAGCUUGAAGACCAUUAAGCCUCACUCUCACAACCAAAGAGGUCUGGUCUCAUGAUGACAGUUGAUUAACACCACAAAAAAUCACUGUGUAAUUUCAGAUAUUCUCUUCUUAUCCAUAGCCUCCUCUCUAAUUUCUUUGCGAGAAGGGUGGAAUAGAGAGAGCAAAGGGUUAAAGCUCCUACCUUCCCCAGAAAAUGAUGAGUUCGCUGGGCAAUGAGUAUGCUGGCUCACAUCUAUCCACCCCAAAAGUGAAGGUUGUGUAAUAACCCCUUCCCUAACCUUUACUCAGUCGUCAUCAGCGCAGUGAUUCACCCAGCCCUGCCAUCUGCUUUCUCUGGAACUGUGAGUUGAAACCCCAGACGAAAUCAGCCAGUGUGGGGAUGGGGAGAGCUGCUGUCCCCACAACCCACUCCUACCCAGGCUCCCAACCCCAAGUAACAGCUGUAGGGUUAUAUUUAUCACAGGUGUGCAGUUGGCAUUUGACAUUAAAAAGAAAAAGAAAGGAAAAAAAAAAAAAAAAAGGCUGCCCUUCCUUUGCAGCAAGACUUCCCCUGCAUUUGCCUUUUUGAAGGUUUUGCAGUAAUUAGACAUCAUCUUCGUGACUGCCUCACCCAAACUUUGCUAGAGCUUAAACACAUCUUCCCUGUGACAACUAUUUCAGCCCUAGCAGGAUCUAAAAAAGGGUUUUAAUCCUGGUUAUUUUCUGUUCCGCUUAAUUGCCUUACCCAACACUUACACUUCAUAUAAAGACAAUCCAUCUUUUCCUCACUGGCUUUUGAAAUAAUCAUUAUCCUCCUCUGCAGAAAUUAAAUAUAUAUAUAUAUAUUAAAAAGUGAUAUGGGUAGAAGGAAACUUGACAUUGAAAACAGACUCCCAAACCAUGGAUAUCUCAAAUAAUCCAAAGACUUCACAGAGUUACUUUUUGGAGCUAAAGGAGCAUUAAUGGAGGAUGUUUUCCCCCUCCCUCCCCUGUGCUGCUUCCCCUCCCCUUUCCUCUUCCACUGAGAAGUUUCCAUGAGUAAUCCCAAAAACAAUAUUUAGAUGACUGAAAUGUUAGAGCAUAAUGUUACUGCAUAACACAGCAUGUCCAGAACUUUCCACUGGGAUGGAAAUCUUUUAUUUUCAGUAUAUUAAAGGAGAAGUAAACAUUGUGGUGAGGAUAAAAACGGAUGCUUUGAGAAAUUAUUUUACAUUUUUGCUACUUUCCUACCUUUAUGUCAACUCUUUUGGAACAACAUGAGAUUUUCUAGGAAGUGGCUUGCUGAGAAUAGAAUCCAAAUGCUUUCUGGGGAUAAAGUCAGGUUUGAUAUUAGGAAAAACUGCACCAAAUGAGUGGUGAGGCACUGGAAUGGGCUGCCUCUUGGUAGAGUCACCGUCUCUGGAGGUGUUCAAGAAAAGGGUACAUGUGGUACAUAGGGACAGGGUUUAAUGGACAGUAUUGCUGACAGGUCGACAGUUGGCCUAGAUGAUCUUAGAGAUCUUUUCCAACCUUAAUGAUUCUAUGAUUCUAUGAACUCUCAUGCACUCCCUGCUCUUUGCUCCUAUUACAUUUCUGAGCAGAUGAUCAGAUCAGCUACCAUUCCUGCAGACUACUAAACAUACCUGCUGGUAUGUUUUCCCUGGCUUUCAAGACAAUGCAAACUACUUCUGCUGCCUUCAUAUGGCAUUUAUGCAGUAUCACAAACAGCGAAGUCAGCCACUGCCUUUACCAAGCCAAACCUUCAUCCCCAGUGUAAUUUAUCAGCUUAGUCUUUCUCAUUCAAAUUUAAUCUCUUAAAGAUUUAAAUUCAGAAAACCCAUAGCUGAUAUUCCUGGAAUUGUGUGGAGCAGCCAUCUUUCCGGGAUAAGAACACUGUGACAGUAAAGCACAUUUCCGUGCAAGAUUCAGAUGAUUUGGGGGCAGCUCCUUGCUUUUCCCCAGACUUUCUGUUUGACUGUGGGUAAGCCCCACCAUUUCACCAGGAAGUAGUUUAUCAUCUCUAAAAUGGGGCUGAGAAUAUAAACUCAUUGUCUUGCUGACGGGGAGUGUUAAAAUUCCGCAAAGAAAUAAUCUAUGCAGGUCUCUUCCAAAGAGGAGGUGAUUUUGGUGGAGAUUCCCAAGACAUCUCUAAACAAGCCUGUCUAAACAAGGUAGCACCAACAGUACCAACCACAGUACAGACCUUGUUUAAGGUUUAAGCUUGUUUAAGCUCAGGUAUAUCAAAGUUAUAAAGCAGACACAGCAGUGAAUCAUGUAAUAAGGAGAGGGCUAAAGACAGGAACACUGAUUAUCUUUUAAACAUUGAAUCUGUAGUAUUAAUGUGGUAAGACCAAUAGGAAACCUGUUAUUUAUCAGUUUUGCUUUCAGAAUCAAUCUGCUUCUUACGUCUAUCAAAAGAAUUUUGGUGCACUAAAUUGGUCCAGGCAAGGAUUAUUUUUGGUUGACUGGUUGGUUUUGACUGUACUUUGGCCACUUACAGCUCACAUUUCCCACUGCAUCAGAAUCACAUAAUCAUAGAAUUGUUUGAGUUGGAACGGACCCUUAAAAGGUCAUCUAGUCCAACUCCUCUGCAGUGAACAGGGACACUUACAGCUCAAUCAGGUUGCUCUGAGCUCCAUCCAGCCUGACCUUGAAUGUCUCCCAAGGACAGGGCAUCCACCAUAUGCUUCGGCCUUGAGGAAAGGAGAUAUUCUUUUUCCACAUGUAAAAAUAAAAAAAUGUCGGUGGAAAUUCACAGGUCCUACAGUCACUUUGCUGAUCUAGCCAGCUGGCCACCUUCUUUCAUGCAAAAUGUUUCAUAUGAACAGCUCUUGCUUUAUGCUUUGUAACAUUUUCAUGUAACUCAUGAGAAGUGAUUCAUAUUUCUUUGGUAUUCUCCAAAGAUCAUACUUAGAAAUUGAGUUCUUAGAAAUUUUUAAUUCCCUUGUGUAGGUGGGACUGUGGGUGCUGUGCUCAGGUUCAUUAUGAUAAUGCAGUCUCAGAAAGUGUCACAUAAGCCACUUUACAGUAAUAAACAAUAAUAAUCAUGAAUUCACAAAAGUAUCAAGCUUCUAAUCUAAAAAAAAAAAAUGCACAGUGGAGCCAAGAAUAACAUAUCUGAGAGUGUUAUUUUACCUUUACAGCAGCCAGUUGUUCUACAUUUAACAUGUGUGAAUGAAAGCAGUAAUAGUAAAUUACCAAAUAAUUUGAACAGUAGAUUGGAAUUUGAUGUCCAUGCUUAGUCUUUGUCUUGCUAUGAGACUUUCAGAAUGAAUUCAGGAAAACUACUGAAUCCUUAUUUUCUCCUAUAAAAUGUACUAUAUACUAAUGUUUUCUUGUCCAUUUUGAUCAUAAAUUCUCCAGAUGGAAAAAGGUGAAGUAAAUGCUGAGCCUGUAUAUUGCUUAACAACGCAGGAAAUUGACAAGAAGGAUGGAUUGAAGAUACUGGUGAUUUCUGCUAGGAAUGUUCAAUGAUUCUCUUCGCAACUCCAAAUCCAGAAGUGAUUAAAAUAAUGAAUUUUCAAAGACUUUUUUUUAUAUAAUGGGAUUUUUUUUCCUAGUACUUACACAUAUAUUGAAAUGGAAAUGUGACGUGAUUUAAUUAUUGGUACUUGGAUACUAUGCCUAGUCAAAUAUCGUAUGAAAAUUUGCUAAUUUUCAAUAUCUUA
Molecule: long non-coding RNA, 8456 nt
Organism: Gallus gallus (chicken)
Lineage: Eukaryota; Metazoa; Chordata; Aves; Galliformes; Phasianidae
Exons: 2
Source: RefSeq, a predicted model, not a curated record